GAUGAACGCUGGCGGCGUGCCUAAUACAUGCAAGUCGAGCGAACGGACGAGAAGCUUGCUUCUCUGAUGUUAGCGGCGGACGGGUGAGUAACACGUGGAUAACCUACCUAUAAGACUGGGAUAACUUCGGGAAACCGGAGCUAAUACCGGAUAAUAUUUUGAACCGCAUGGUUCAAAAGUGAAAGACGGUCUUGCUGUCACUUAUAGAUGGAUCCGCGCUGCAUUAGCUAGUUGGUAAGGUAACGGCUUACCAAGGCAACGAUGCAUAGCCGACCUGAGAGGGUGAUCGGCCACACUGGAACUGAGACACGGUCCAGACUCCUACGGGAGGCAGCAGUAGGGAAUCUUCCGCAAUGGGCGAAAGCCUGACGGAGCAACGCCGCGUGAGUGAUGAAGGUCUUCGGAUCGUAAAACUCUGUUAUUAGGGAAGAACAUAUGUGUAAGUAACUGUGCACAUCUUGACGGUACCUAAUCAGAAAGCCACGGCUAACUACGUGCCAGCAGCCGCGGUAAUACGUAGGUGGCAAGCGUUAUCCGGAAUUAUUGGGCGUAAAGCGCGCGUAGGCGGUUUUUUAAGUCUGAUGUGAAAGCCCACGGCUCAACCGUGGAGGGUCAUUGGAAACUGGAAAACUUGAGUGCAGAAGAGGAAAAUGGAAUUCCAUGUGUAGCGGUGAAAUGCGCAGAGAUAUGGAGGAACACCAGUGGCGAAGGCGACUUUCUGGUCUGUAACUGACGCUGAUGUGCGAAAGCGUGGGGAUCAAACAGGAUUAGAUACCCUGGUAGUCCACGCCGUAAACGAUGAGUGCUAAGUGUUAGGGGGUUUCCGCCCCUUAGUGCUGCAGCUAACGCAUUAAGCACUCCGCCUGGGGAGUACGACCGCAAGGUUGAAACUCAAAGGAAUUGACGGGGACCCGCACAAGCGGUGGAGCAUGUGGUUUAAUUCGAAGCAACGCGAAGAACCUUACCAAAUCUUGACAUCCUUUGACAACUCUAGAGAUAGAGCCUUCCCCUUCGGGGGACAAAGUGACAGGUGGUGCAUGGUUGUCGUCAGCUCGUGUCGUGAGAUGUUGGGUUAAGUCCCGCAACGAGCGCAACCCUUAAGCUUAGUUGCCAUCAUUAAGUUGGGCACUCUAAGUUGACUGCCGGUGACAAACCGGAGGAAGGUGGGGAUGACGUCAAAUCAUCAUGCCCCUUAUGAUUUGGGCUACACACGUGCUACAAUGGACAAUACAAAGGGCAGCGAAACCGCGAGGUCAAGCAAAUCCCAUAAAGUUGUUCUCAGUUCGGAUUGUAGUCUGCAACUCGACUACAUGAAGCUGGAAUCGCUAGUAACCGUAGAUCAGCAUGCUACGGUGAAUACGUUCCCGGGUCU
RNAcentral lists this ribosomal RNA (1372 nucleotides) under uncultured bacterium. RNAcentral's name for it is "bacterial SSU rRNA". It matches the Rfam family "Bacterial small subunit ribosomal RNA", at positions 28 to 1381 of the family's 1533-position model. The record is from RNAcentral.